RNAcentral lists this ribosomal RNA (486 nucleotides) under uncultured bacterium. RNAcentral's name for it is "partial 16S ribosomal RNA". It matches the Rfam family "Bacterial small subunit ribosomal RNA", at positions 30 to 507 of the family's 1533-position model. The record is from RNAcentral.
AUUGAACGCUGGCGGCAUGCCUUACACAUGCAAGUCGAACGGCAGCACGGGUGCUUGCACCUGGUGGCGAGUGGCGAACGGGUGAGUAAUACAUCGGAACAUGUCCUGUAGUGGGGGAUAGCCCGGCGAAAGCCGGAUUAAUACCGCAUACGAUCUACGGAUGAAAGCGGGGGACCUUCGGGCCUCGCGCUAUAGGGUUGGCCGAUGGCUGAUUAGCUAGUUGGUGGGGUAAAGGCCUACCAAGGCGACGAUCAGUAGCUGGUCUGAGAGGACGACCAGCCACACUGGGACUGAGACACGGCCCAGACUCCUACGGGAGGCAGCAGUGGGGAAUUUUGGACAAUGGGCGAAAGCCUGAUUCAGCAAUGCCGCGUGUGUGAAGAAGGCCUUCGGGUUGUAAAGCACUUUUGUCCGGAAAGAAAUCCUUGGCCCUAAUACGGUCGGGGGAUGACGGUACCGGAAGAAUAAGCACCGGCUAACUACGUG